UGAUGAGUGAGGUGUCAUACAUGGUAGCAGAUCCAUGAGUGAGGAAUACAAAUGGAUUGGAGAAGGUUAAGCUUUGUGUGGCUUGCUUUGGUCUUCCAUGAGGGAGAUACUAUAAGUCAAUCUUUCCACAUGCAGUAAUCAGACAUAAGAUACAGCGGAGCAUGGCUGACUCGGGUCCAGAUUGACCUCCUCAGAUCCUCAUGUUUUUGUUGUGGGCCCGCCAAAAUCCAGAUAGAUCUGCCUUAC
Molecule: long non-coding RNA, 246 nt
Filed under: Phoenix dactylifera (date palm)
Lineage: Eukaryota; Viridiplantae; Streptophyta; Magnoliopsida; Arecales; Arecaceae
Description: long non-coding RNA (PDAC_LNC022121)
Source: RNAcentral